This 497-nucleotide ribosomal RNA is filed under the name uncultured bacterium. RNAcentral's name for it is "partial 16S ribosomal RNA". It matches the Rfam family "Bacterial small subunit ribosomal RNA", at positions 28 to 507 of the family's 1533-position model. The record is from RNAcentral.
GAUGAACGCUGGCGGCGUGCCUAAUACAUGCAAGUCGAGCGAACGGACGAGAAGCUUGCUUCUCUGAUGUUAGCGGCGGACGGGUGAGUAACACGUGGAUAACCUACCUAUAAGACUGGGAUAACUUCGGGAAACCGUAGCUAAUACCGGAUAAUAUUUUGAACCGCAUGGUUCAAAAGUGAAAGACGGUCUUGCUGUCACUUAUAGAUGGAUCCGCGCUGCAUUAGCUAGUUGGUAAGGUAACGGCUUACCAAGGCAACGAUGCAUAGCCGACCUGAGAGGGUGAUCGGCCACACUGGAACUGAGACACGGUCCAGACUCCUACGGGAGGCAGCAGUAGGGAAUCUUCCGCAAUGGGCGAAAGCCUGACGGAGCAACGCCGCGUGAGUGAUGAAGGUCUUCGGAUCGUAAAACUCUGUUAUUAGGGAAGAACAUAUGUGUAAGUAACUGUGCACAUCUUGACGGUACCUAAUCAGAAAGCCACGGCUAACUAAGUG